UAUGCGCUGAGUUCCUGGUAGAACCAGGAAGCGGGGGAACCAGUAUUUGGGGGUGAAUCUCCGGCCGUUACGUGCCGGGGUAGGGCUAGUUUCCGGCCCGAACCCGUCAGCUAACCUCGUAAGCGGUGGGAAA
Molecule: small RNA, 133 nt
Filed under: marine sediment metagenome
Also listed under: 1 other name
Description: c-di-AMP riboswitch aptamer (ydaO/yuaA leader)
Rfam family: c-di-AMP riboswitch aptamer (ydaO/yuaA leader)
About the family: This family represents a conserved RNA structure found upstream of the ydaO and yuaA genes in Bacillus subtilis and related genes in other bacteria. The ydaO/yuaA element is thought to act as a genetic "off" switch for the ydaO and yuaA genes in its native state.
Source: RNAcentral